UUACAUGAAUUUCUGCAUAUGCAUAGCUGGUUUUGGAUUGAUAAAGAAUUUCAGACAUACUUGGGCGGCAAUCAUAUACUGAUAGAGCCAGGAUAAUUAUUGAUGAAGAAUAGUAGAGGUGAAUACACAUGGUUGGUGGGUUAUGGAUCCAUAAAGAAGUUUAGACAUGAUUGUGAGGCAGGCAUGUACUGAAAGAGCCAGGGCGUUUAUUGAUGAAAAAUACUAGAGGUGACUGCAUAUGCUUGGUUGGUUAUGGAUCCAUAUAGAAGUUUAGACAUGACUGUAGUGAUAGAGCCAGGGCGUUUAUUGAUGAAGAAUGAUAGAGGUAUGACACUAAACUUACAGACAUUAAGAAAGGUAUAACU
This is a long non-coding RNA of Mercenaria mercenaria, 365 nucleotides long. RefSeq lists it as uncharacterized. NCBI's taxonomy places the organism in Eukaryota, Metazoa, Mollusca, Bivalvia, Venerida, Veneridae. The record is from RefSeq and is a predicted model, not a curated record. The transcript has 3 exons.